UCGCGGCUUAUCACCGGCAGUCCCCUUAGAGUGCCCAACUGAAUGAUGGCAACUAAGGGCGAGGGUUGCGCUCGUUGCGGGACUUAACCCAACAUCUCACGACACGAGCUGACGACAGCCAUGCAGCACCUGUGUUCCGAUUCCCUUUCAGGCACACCCACCUCUCAGCGGGCUCUCGGACAUGUCAAGGGUAGGUAAGGUUGUUCGCGUUGCAUCGAAUUAAUCCACAUCAUCCACCGCUUGUGCGGGUCCCCGUCAAUUCCUUUGAGUUUUAACCUUGCGGCCGUACUCCCCAGGCGGUCAACUUCACGCGUUAGCUACGGUACCCAGGAAUCGCUUCCCGAACACCCAGUUGACAUCGUUUAGGGCGUGGACUAC
RNAcentral lists this unclassified non-coding RNA (378 nucleotides) under uncultured Gammaproteobacteria bacterium. Its description in RNAcentral is "contains 16S-23S intergenic spacer region". Lineage: Bacteria; Pseudomonadati; Pseudomonadota; Gammaproteobacteria. The record is from RNAcentral.